RNAcentral lists this signal recognition particle RNA (157 nucleotides) under Dehalococcoidia bacterium. RNAcentral describes it as "Bacterial large signal recognition particle RNA". It matches the Rfam family "Bacterial large signal recognition particle RNA", at positions 105 to 256 of the family's 256-position model. From Rfam's summary of the family: The signal recognition particle (SRP) is a universally conserved ribonucleoprotein involved in the co-translational targeting of proteins to membranes. Archaeal SRP consists of a 7S RNA and homologues of the eukaryotic SRP19 and SRP54 proteins. In most bacteria, the SRP consists of a 4.5S RNA and the Ffh protein (a homologue of the eukaryotic SRP54 protein). Lineage: Bacteria; Bacillati; Chloroflexota; Dehalococcoidia. The record is from Rfam by way of RNAcentral.
UGUUGAUGGCCUGGUCCUGCGCGACGAAGCGCCUCGAACCCCGUCAGGUCCGGAAGGAAGCAGCGGUAAGGGGUUGGCUUCGGGUGCCGCGGGGACACCGGGCUUGAGUUGCCGUGUGGUGGCAAGCCUGUGGUCGGGAUCGACAGUAGGUGCACGG